RNAcentral lists this microRNA precursor (81 nucleotides) under Prunus dulcis (almond). RNAcentral describes it as "sRNA ncRNA". The record is from RNAcentral. Lineage: Eukaryota; Viridiplantae; Streptophyta; Magnoliopsida; Rosales; Rosaceae.
AAAACGGGUAUAGCCGAACGGCUAUACUAUUUUUUUUUAAAUUAAAAAAAUCUGGUAUAGCCGUCCGGCUAUACUAUUUUU